CUCAACUGUAAAACUGCCAUUGAUACUGAUAGUCUUGAAUUUAGUUGAGGUAGGCGGAAUGUGUUGUGUAGCGGUGAAAUGCAUAGAUAUAACACAGAACACCGAUUGCGAAGGCAGCUUACUAAGCUAUAAUUGACGCUGAUGCACGAAAGCGUGGGGAGCGAACAGGAUUAGAUACCCUGGUAGUCCACGCCGUAAACGAUGAUUACUCGUUGUUGGCAAUACAUCGUCAGCGACUGAGCGAAAGCAUUAAGUAAUCCACCUGGGGAGUACGUUGGCAACAAUGAAACUCAAAGGAAUUGACGGGGGCCCGCACAAGCGGAGGAACAUGUGGUUUAAUUCGAUGAUACGCGAGGAACCUUACCUGGACUUAAAUGUAGAUUGCAUAGAGCAGAGAUGCUCUUUUCUUCGGACUAUUUACAAGGUGCUGCAUGGUUGUCGUCAGCUCGUGCCGUGAGGUGUCGGGUUAAGUCCCAUAACGAGCGCAACCCCUGUUGUUAGUUACCAGCACGUCAAGGUGGGGACUCUAACAAGACUGCCGGUGUAAACCGCGAGGAAGGUGGGGAUGACGUCAAAUCAGCACGGCCCUUACGUCCAGGGCUACACACGUGUUACAAUGGCAGGUACAAAGGGCAGCUACACAGCGAUGUGAUGCUAAUCUCUAAAGCCUGUCUCAGUUCGGAUCGGAGUCUGCAACUCGACUCCGUGA
Molecule: ribosomal RNA, 709 nt
Filed under: uncultured Bacteroidota bacterium
Lineage: Bacteria; Pseudomonadati; Bacteroidota
Description: bacterial SSU rRNA
Rfam family: Bacterial small subunit ribosomal RNA
Source: RNAcentral